GCCCGAAGCCGAUUAUCUAACCUUUUGGAAGAAGUCGUCGAAGGUGGAAUUAAUAACUGGGGUGAAGUCGUAACAAGGUAGCCGUAUCGGAAGGUGCGGCUGGAUCACCUCCUUU
This 115-nucleotide ribosomal RNA is filed under the name Clostridioides difficile. RNAcentral describes it as "partial 16S ribosomal RNA". It matches the Rfam family "Bacterial small subunit ribosomal RNA", at positions 1419 to 1533 of the family's 1533-position model. Lineage: Bacteria; Bacillati; Bacillota; Clostridia; Peptostreptococcales; Peptostreptococcaceae. The record is from RNAcentral.